RNAcentral lists this ribosomal RNA (404 nucleotides) under uncultured bacterium. RNAcentral's name for it is "bacterial SSU rRNA". It matches the Rfam family "Bacterial small subunit ribosomal RNA", at positions 355 to 776 of the family's 1533-position model. The record is from RNAcentral.
UGGGGAAUAUUGGACAAUGGGCGAAAGCCUGAUCCAGCAAUGCCGCGUGAGUGAUGAAGGCCUUAGGGUUGUAAAGCUCUUUUACCCGGGAAGAUAAUGACUGUACCGGGAGAAUAAGCCCCGGCUAACUCCGUGCCAGCAGCCGCGGUAAUACGGAGGGGGCUAGCGUUGUUCGGAAUUACUGGGCGUAAAGCGCACGUAGGCGGUUUUGUAAGUUAGAGGUGAAAGCCUGGGGCUCAACUCCAGAAUUGCCUUUAAGACUGCAUCACUUGAACACGGGAGAGGUGAGUGGAAUUCCGAGUGUAGAGGUGAAAUUCGUAGAUAUUCGGAAGAACACCAGUGGCGAAGGCGGCUCACUGGACCGUUGUUGACGCUGAGGUGCGAAAGCGUGGGGAGCAAACAGG